GACGAACGCUGGCGGCGUGCUUAAUACAUGCAAGUAGAACGCUAAGGGCCGGCCUUUGUUGGGUGCACGAGUUGCGAACGGGUGAGUAACACGUAAGUAACCUGCCCUUGAGCUUGGGAUAACUUUAGGAAACUGUGGCUAAUACCGCAUAGGAGCACCUGCUGCAUGGUAGGGGCUGGAAAGUUUCGGUGGUUUGGGUUGGACUCGCGGCUUAUCAGCUUGUUGGUGGGGUAGUGGUAUAGCAAGGCGAUGACGGGUAGCCGGCCCGAGAGGGUGACCGGCCACAGAGUGCCAGAGGUACGGGCCAGACUGCUACGGGAGGCAUCAGUGGAGAAUAGUGCACAAUGGGCGGCAGGCUGAUGCAGCAACGUCGCGUGCGGGAGGACGGCCGUCGGGGUGGAAACCGCGUUCGCGUGUGACGAAGCGUGAGUGACGGUAACGGGUAAAGAAGCACCGGCUAACUACGUG
This 468-nucleotide ribosomal RNA is filed under the name uncultured bacterium. Its description in RNAcentral is "partial 16S ribosomal RNA". It matches the Rfam family "Bacterial small subunit ribosomal RNA", at positions 28 to 507 of the family's 1533-position model. The record is from RNAcentral.